AGAGUUUGAUCAUGGCUCAGGACGAACGCUGGCGGCGUGCUUAAUACAUGCAAGUCGAGCGAGGUUACUGUUUCGGAUCCCUUCGGGGUGAAGAAGCUUUAACCUAGCGGCGGACGGGUGAGUAACGCGUGGGUAACCUACCCCAAAGUCCGGGAUAACAGCGGGAAACCGCUGCUAAUACCGGAUGCCUUUACCUUGGGGCAUCUUGAGGUAAAGAAAGGUAACGCUUUGGGAUGGGCCCGCGUCCCAUUAGCUAGUUGGUGAGGUAACGGCUCACCAAGGCGACGAUGGGUAGCCGGCCUGAGAGGGUGGACGGCCACACUGGGACUGAGACACGGCCCAGACUCCUACGGGAGGCAGCAGUAGGGAAUAUUGCGCAAUGGACGGAAGUCUGACGCAGCGACGCCGCGUGAGCGAUGAAGGUCUUCGGAUCGUAAAGCUCUGUCCUUGGGGAAGAAGGUCUUCGGACUUGACGGUACCCAAGAAGAAAGCCCCGGCUAACUACGUGCCAGCAGCCGCGGUAAU
RNAcentral lists this ribosomal RNA (525 nucleotides) under uncultured bacterium. Its description in RNAcentral is "bacterial SSU rRNA". It matches the Rfam family "Bacterial small subunit ribosomal RNA", at positions 8 to 524 of the family's 1533-position model. The record is from RNAcentral.